RNAcentral lists this long non-coding RNA (339 nucleotides) under Physcomitrium patens. RNAcentral's name for it is "long non-coding RNA (PPAT_LNC005660)". The record is from RNAcentral. Lineage: Eukaryota; Viridiplantae; Streptophyta; Bryopsida; Funariales; Funariaceae.
UAAAACUCCAAAAUUUAUGUAAAAUUUUACUUUUUAUGGUAUUUGUUCUUACAAUAUGGUUCUAGAAUAUAUUAUUACAAAUAUGAUAUAUAUAAAAAAAUCAAUAAAAAAUUAAUUAUUUUCUAUUUAAAACAUCAUUAAUUAAAUAUCCUUUAAAUUGAUAUCAAUAAUUAAACAAUUAGUAUGUUAUCUAAAUAUUUAGUUAUUAAAAAUUUUCUUAUAUAAUAAAUUCUUCAAAAUAUCAAUUAUUAGCAUUCUAAGCAUUAAAUGUAUUAUGUUAUUUAUUUUUUAAAUCACAAUCAUUUAAUAGAAUUUUUAAUAUUUUAGUAAAAAGUACUU